CGCGUAGGCGGCAUGACAAGUCAGAUGUGAAAGCCCCGGGCUCAACUCGGGAAUUGCAUCUGAAACUGUUUUGCUUGAGUUCUGGAGGGGGUAGUGGAAUUCCCAGUGUAGCGGUGAAAUGCGUAGAUAUUGGGAGGAACACCUGCGGCGAAGGCGGCUACCUGGACAGUGACUGACGCUGAGGCGCGAAAGCUAGGGGAGCGAACGGGAUUAGAUACCCCGGUAGUCCUAGCCGUAAACGAUGGGCACUUGGUGUUGGGGGUAUUGAGUCCCUCGGUGCCGGAGUUAACGCGUUAAGUGCCCCGCCUGGGGAGUACGGUCGCAAGACUGAA
Molecule: ribosomal RNA, 332 nt
Filed under: uncultured bacterium
Lineage: Bacteria
Description: bacterial SSU rRNA
Rfam family: Bacterial small subunit ribosomal RNA
Source: RNAcentral